GUCGAGAAUCUUUCACAAUGGGGGCAACCCUGAUGGAGCGACGCCGCGUGGAGGAUAAGGUCUUCGGAUUGUAAACUCCUGUCAUGCGUGAACAAGGUUGCUUGGUUAAUACCUGGGCAAAUUGAUGGUAACGCAAGAGGAAGAGACGGCUAACUCUGUGCCAGCAGCCGCGGUAAUACAGAGGUCUCAAGCGUUGUUCGGAAUCACUGGGCGUAAAGGGUGCGUAGGUGGCGUGGUAAGUAAGAUGUGAAAGCCCGGGGCUCAACCUCGGAACUGCAUCCGAUACUGCCAUGCUAGAGUACUGGAGAGGUGACUAGAAUUCUCGGUGUAGCAGUGAAAUGCGUAGAUAUCGAGAGGAAUACCAAAGGCGUAGGCAGGUCACUGGACAGUUACUGACACUGAGGCACGAAGGCCAGGGGAGCGAACGGGAUUAGAUACCCCGGUAGUCC
Molecule: ribosomal RNA, 449 nt
Filed under: uncultured bacterium
Lineage: Bacteria
Description: partial 16S ribosomal RNA
Rfam family: Bacterial small subunit ribosomal RNA
Source: RNAcentral